Long non-coding RNA from Suricata suricatta (meerkat), 301 nucleotides. RefSeq lists it as uncharacterized. The transcript is spliced from 3 exons. The record is from RefSeq and is a predicted model, not a curated record. NCBI's taxonomy places the organism in Eukaryota, Metazoa, Chordata, Mammalia, Carnivora, Herpestidae.
UUGGCCACAGCCGAGUGAGAUGCGAGGGCUACCCGGAGGGUGAUCUCCGGGCUCAGGAUGGGAAUAGAAGAAACAAGAGGAAGGAAGAAGGGCUAGGCAAGCCAAGAAAAUGCCAAUAAAGGAAGGAAAUGGAGAGGAUUAGUAAAAAGUGAGACCCAUACCAGUUGGAGGUACAUGCUGACAGGACUUCCACUUGGUCUUCUAACUGACUGAAAGCAAGGCCAGGUAUCUAUCAGCAUCCCAUUCUCAUCACCAGUAUUGCCAAGAGCUGAGGAGAAUCCGAUUUUACCAUACUUGCAAG